Long non-coding RNA from Pungitius pungitius (ninespine stickleback), 1579 nucleotides. RefSeq lists it as uncharacterized. NCBI's taxonomy places the organism in Eukaryota, Metazoa, Chordata, Actinopteri, Perciformes, Gasterosteidae. The transcript is spliced from 3 exons. The record is from RefSeq and is a predicted model, not a curated record.
CGGUCAAAUGCAGCGAACACACCUCUGCUGUCUCCCACUGGAACACCUCGCCCAUCAGCAUCUACCGAAGACAACUUUCAGUCCCCAUUGUGCUGUACGGCCCACUCAAGUUCACCUGAUGAGUGCCAUUGCUUGGUGGAAUAGAAAUCUGAUCUCAGACGCCGUGUUUGCCGCCAAAGGACGGAACUACAGAAGCGCCUCAACACCUGCUGAUUCUAUUCGGAGAGACUGUGGACGACAACGUCCGGGGCCCUGCCAAUGUCCCUUCUGACGAGCUGCUGGGGUUGGAUACCCGUUCAGAUGGAGCACAGGUAAGGAGGAGGUUCAGCAUGGGCAGCCAUGAUCCAGAUCCAGAGGCGUACCAUAGCGACGAGGAGGCUCACUCCCAGCGUUCACCCUCUGGUCUCUCCCAAAACCCGCUUCAGGGCUUCGAAAGGCUGGAAAAGUUUUGCUGUGCUAUAAAUCCCCCCGACAGAGGACAAGCUCACUCUUUCCGCUGAGCAGAGGAACACGGUCCUUGAAGCCUGGAAUGAAGUGGAGGAGCAUGAGAAGCAGUUCAACCAGCUGUACAGAGCUCACUGGAGCAUCUGCCUCCACUGCAGCACAAAUAGAGAACAUCUGGUUGAUGUUGUUGUGAUCCAGAGGCUACCGAUGGAUAAGUGCAAAGUCCAGCUCAACAAGACGUCAGUGCUCAGCACAACAGGCUCAUCUACACGCUGGUUAAACUGUUGUUUGAACAACAGCUGUUUACACUGUGCAUAUAUCUGUAAAAAAGGUGCAGCUGUAUUGCAUCGUAAAUAAACUUCACUCAAGUGCUGUGGUGUACACAGCAAUGUAUUCAAUUAAUAAUAAAUCUGUAAAGAAUUUGGUCUUAUUGGACACACACAUGUACUUUUCUAUUUCUGAUUGUGCUCUGUCUUAAUGCACUUUACAGCUUUUUCAGUUGAAUAUAUGCUACGGUUAAAAGUGUCACACAAAUAUCCAAACUGUACACUCAAGGAGCAAAACACCGCCCAGAUCUGCACAACUAUAAGAUCUGCACAACUAUAAGCACAAUAUAAGCCUUACACUGUUUGCAAAACAAUACACACAGUAGCUGUGUCCCAAUUCAUACUUAAGGACGCAUUUGUCGAGCGCACACGUCACUUCGGCUGCGACUCGGCUGUCCCAUUCAGUCGGCUCCUCCGAACAACACACAUUUAUAACAAAUACACAACAAGCAGCUCACAUUACCGGAAGCUGCUGCGCUGUUAACGGCAGCUUGUCUGUAGUUAUUAUUGAAAAGUCACUUUAACACCUCAACUUUCACACUUUAGAGGCUGACUAAUAUUGUACUGAGGCUUUGACGGUUUAUAUCACAUAAUGCUUAGAAAUGGAUCAAAGUCAUCUCAUAUAUACCAGUUAUGAACCUGAAAUAUCACCUUCUAAGUCAGUAAAGUUACAGAAUAAAUAAGCAGAACUUGUGUUGAGAACGAUGUGUGUGGUGACAAUUCAGCUUCUGGAGCUUGGACAUAUUCUGUAAUAUGAUUAAGGUUACAGUUAAAAUAGCUUGUAUCCUAUGCAAGAAAAAAAUAAAAUG